CCUACGGGAGGCAGCAGUGAGGAAUAUUGGUCAAUGGACGCAAGUCUGAACCAGCCAUGCCGCGUGCAGGAAGACGGCUCUAUGAGUUGUAAACCGCUUUUGUACGAGGGUAAACGCAGAUACGCGUAUCUGUCUGAAAGUAUCGGACGAAUAAGGAUCGGCUAACUCCGUGCCAGCAGCCGCGGUAAUACGGAGGAUUCAAGCGUUAUCCGGAUUUAUUGGGUUUAAAGGGUGCGUAGGCGGUCGGAUAAGUUAGAGGUGAAAUCCCGAGGCUCAACAUCGGAAUUGCCUUUGAUACUGUUCGGCUAGAGAGUAGUUGCGGUAGGCGGAAUGUAUGGUGUAGCGGUGAAAUGCUUAGAGAUCACACAGAACACCGAUUGCGAAGGCAGCUUACCAAGCUACUUCUGACGUUGAGGCACGAAAGCGUGGGGAGCGAACAGGAUUAGAUACCCCUGUAGUC
This 460-nucleotide ribosomal RNA is filed under the name uncultured bacterium. Its description in RNAcentral is "partial 16S ribosomal RNA". It matches the Rfam family "Bacterial small subunit ribosomal RNA", at positions 338 to 795 of the family's 1533-position model. The record is from RNAcentral.